AUUUGUUUGCUAUUCUAUUCUCUUCUCUCAUCCAUAGGUAGAGACCCUCUUUAUUUAUAGAUGAUUCUCAUGACCCAAUGAGAGGAGGACUCUUUAUUCAAAUCUGAUUUGAAUUGAUCCAAUACUCAUGAAAGAAGGACUCCUACAUGAGAUAUAAUUGCCAUCACUUAUGACAUCCACUUUGCACCCACUCCCACACCCACUUGGGAUACCCCAAAUAAGUACCAAACUAAUUUU
RNAcentral lists this long non-coding RNA (237 nucleotides) under Elaeis guineensis (African oil palm). RNAcentral describes it as "long non-coding RNA (EGUI_LNC059563)". Lineage: Eukaryota; Viridiplantae; Streptophyta; Magnoliopsida; Arecales; Arecaceae. The record is from RNAcentral.